Long non-coding RNA from Pocillopora verrucosa, 853 nucleotides. RefSeq lists it as uncharacterized. NCBI's taxonomy places the organism in Eukaryota, Metazoa, Cnidaria, Anthozoa, Scleractinia, Pocilloporidae. The record is from RefSeq and is a predicted model, not a curated record.
UCUUGCACGUGGAGAGAGCUUACGAAGUACAAGACAUUUCAUCUUCUACUUCAGCUUCUCUGAGGCCAGGAAACACGUUAUUUAAACCUUAUCACUUUGGAUAUCGUUGUUUUCGUUAAGCCAAAUGUGUGUCCCUGCGAAACUGCGAACUCGAGUUGUUCGAGGCAGCAAUUUAAAUACGACGUCUAUGAUUGAUGGUUGUCAUUCUGUGACCAAUUUUCUCAAGGACAGCGUCAAGAAUAGAAGGAUAAAAAUCUGAAAUUAAGAAAUGAAAGAGAGGAAAGAGAAAAGGAUAACAUCAUAAAAGGCGGCGUGCUUAGGAUGGGAACAUAACGAGAUCUGGAAAUUCAAGCGAGCUGGGAAAGAAAAACAAGAUAACUUCUGGCAAGACUGAGUGGUGAAUAAUUCCGAUGCUUCGAGCAUGAUCCCAGCUAAAGACAAGAUUAAUAUAGAAGGGCAAAGCAGAUGCAAUGCAUUUUUCCCAAGAAUACGACGAGUCCGAGAAAAGACUCAUCUUCUAGAGCCGCUAUGACGUGAAGCAAAACCUAAGCAAAUGUCGUUUCGUGUUUUUUGGACGCUGGAAAAAAAAUCAACGUCGAGGACUGUUCAAACAUUCAAUUUUUCUUGCCUAAAGAAAGUGUACUUUAGGGUACGCAUGCUCAAUUUUCUUUAUUCAUUCUGGGAGUAACCUCUGUUCAAAUGGAUUAAAUUUUCCCGCCAAAAGACUUGGAAAAAAUACGGCGCUCACAAAUACGCAUGCGCCAUAUUUUUAAAAAUAUUGAUUCUGUAAGUAACUUCCGCUAAAAUGGGUUAAUUUUCCCGCCAAAAAACUUAGGAAAAAUACGGCGCCCAA